UACGUAGGGUGCAAGCGUUGUCCGGAAUUAUUGGGCGUAAAGGGUGCGUAGGCGGUUUGGUAAGUCUUAUGUGAAAUCUACAGGCUCAACUUGUAGUCUGCAUGAGAAACUGCCGGGCUUGAGUAUGGGAGAGGUGAGUGGAAUUCCUGGUGUAGCGGUGAAAUGCGUAGAGAUGCGGAGGAACACCGAUGGCGAAGGCAGCCCCCUGGGCUAGCACUGACGCUCAGGCACGAAAGCGUGGGGAGCAAACAGG
RNAcentral lists this ribosomal RNA (253 nucleotides) under uncultured bacterium. RNAcentral's name for it is "partial 16S ribosomal RNA". It matches the Rfam family "Bacterial small subunit ribosomal RNA", at positions 524 to 776 of the family's 1533-position model. The record is from RNAcentral.